AUGGACCCAGCAAGCCUAGAAGCUCAGGCGUGCAAAGAGGCUAUAUCUUUAGCCAGGGAUCUGCAUGUUGAUUCAGUGUGCAUCGCACCAGAUUGCGUUGAAGUGGUAACCAACAUUGAUUCCAGAGUUCCCUGCUCUUAUGUUACUAUCACGCGAGAGAUCGACCGUCUUCGGCGUUCUUUCCGAGACAUCAAGUUCAUCCACGAGCGACGUCAACACAAUGGAGAGGCGCACUCCCUUGUCAAGGCUGCUUCCUCUCUUUCAACCGGGUGCCAUGUGUGGCUUUCUGUUUUGCCUGAUGUUAUCUGUAUCCCCAUGAACAUUAACAUUUAA
RNAcentral lists this ribosomal RNA (333 nucleotides) under Triticum aestivum (bread wheat). Its description in RNAcentral is "partial small subunit ribosomal RNA". The record is from RNAcentral. Lineage: Eukaryota; Viridiplantae; Streptophyta; Magnoliopsida; Poales; Poaceae.